Molecule: ribosomal RNA, 324 nt
Filed under: uncultured bacterium
Lineage: Bacteria
Description: bacterial SSU rRNA
Rfam family: Bacterial small subunit ribosomal RNA
Source: RNAcentral
GAUGAACGCUGGCGGCGUGCCUAACACAUGCAAGUCGAACGAAGCACUUUUACCAGAUUCUUCGGAAGAAGGUGACUGUGACUGAGUGGCGGACGGGUGAGUAACGCGUGGGUAACCUGCCUCAUACAGGGGGAUAACAGUUAGAAAUGACUGCUAAUACCGCAUAAGACCACGGAGUCGCAUGACUCAGUGGGAAAAACUCCGGUGGUAUGAGAUGGACCCGCGUCUGAUUAGGUAGUUGGUGGGGUAACGGCCCACCAAGCCGACGAUCAGUAGCCGACCUGAGAGGGUGACCGGCCACAUUGGGACUGAGACACGGCCCAA